GGCGGGGUAGCUCAGUUGGUUAGAGCGCGGGACUCAUAAGCCCGAGGUCGUGGGUUCGAUCCCCACCCCCGCUACCA
This 77-nucleotide transfer RNA is filed under the name Candidatus Uhrbacteria bacterium. RNAcentral's name for it is "tRNA-Met". It matches the Rfam family "tRNA". From Rfam's summary of the family: Transfer RNA (tRNA) molecules are approximately 80 nucleotides in length. Their secondary structure includes four short double-helical elements and three loops (D, anti-codon, and T loops). Lineage: Bacteria; Candidatus Uhriibacteriota. The record is from RNAcentral. RNAcentral also lists the same sequence under 1 other name.